UGAGGAAACCACCAGAACUCAUCCACAGACCCCAGUAAGAGGUCAUCUCCUUCAUCUUCUUCUUCUGUUCCUACAGAGAGAAAAAGAGAAUAUCAUUUUUCCCAUUCACGGAGAGAAAACCGAAAAAAAGAGAGAUUAAAUGAUUGCUCAAGGUUAUUCAGAGAGUUAGCGGCCAUCAUCACCUCAGUGUUUCACCGAAAGAGCAGGAAGGAUGAAAUGUGAAGGAAAUGCAUAGAGUCCCAGAUGACGGGAAUUAAGUAUCUCAAUCUCCCAGCCACAGAAGAUCUGCUGUUAUUC
Molecule: long non-coding RNA, 297 nt
Organism: Phascolarctos cinereus (koala)
Lineage: Eukaryota; Metazoa; Chordata; Mammalia; Diprotodontia; Phascolarctidae
Source: RefSeq, a predicted model, not a curated record